Molecule: ribosomal RNA, 493 nt
Filed under: uncultured bacterium
Lineage: Bacteria
Description: partial 16S ribosomal RNA
Rfam family: Bacterial small subunit ribosomal RNA
Source: RNAcentral
AGUGAACGCUGGCGGUAGGCCUAACACAUGCAAGUCGAACGGCAGCACAGUAAGAGCUUGCUCUUACGGGUGGCGAGUGGCGGACGGGUGAGGAAUACAUCGGAAUCUACUUUUUCGUGGGGGAUAACGUAGGGAAACUUACGCUAAUACCGCAUACGACCUACGGGUGAAAGCAGGGGAUCUUCGCACUUUGCGCGAUUGAAUGAGCCGAUGUCGGAUUAGCUAGUUGGAGGGGUAAAGGACCACCAAGGCGACGAUCCGUAGCUGGUCUGAGAGAAUGAUCAGCCACACUGGAACCGAGACAAGGAACCGAACCCUACGGGAGGCAGAAGUGGGGAAGAUUCGCAAAUGGACGCAAGCCUGACGCAGCCAUACCGCGGGCGUGAAGAAGGCCAUCGUGUUGUACAGCCCUUUUGUUGGGAAAGAAAAGCAGCCGGUUAAUACCCACGCUGUUCUGACGGUACCCAAAGAAUAAGCACCGGCUAACUUCGUG